GAGACACUAGCUGCUUUGAAAAGGGAGUCUUCAACAGACUAGCCAAACAACUCAGGAUGUUUUGUGCUGGAUAAACCACACUGCUUCUGGGGAGUGCUGCUGUCACAGAAGACCUUGCAUAGUCAGGGUGAGCUGGAGAGCUCAUGGUAGCAGCCAAUAAGAGACAUUCCCAUUAAAAAAAGGUUUAUCUGAACAGAAUUCAGAGACUCAAUCUACUGGUUCC
RNAcentral lists this long non-coding RNA (223 nucleotides) under Gallus gallus (chicken). Lineage: Eukaryota; Metazoa; Chordata; Aves; Galliformes; Phasianidae. The record is from RNAcentral.